AAAAAAAAAAAAAAAACUUACUCAAACUAAACAACAUAGUUACAAGAUGGAUUAUUUGAUAUGUAUUCGACUAGAGAACAAUACACCAACACCGGAGCGUUGUAGCAGCAAUUCUAGCACCACCUUAGGAUCACUUAUCUCCAUCUUUUUUAUAGUAUGAUACAACGGUGUAAAGUGUUUGGAGAACCGCAAGAGAAAACAACAUAACAGCUGCAAACGCCGAAACUGCGGCCCAUGGGCUCGCAAAAUAGAAAGCAACAUAACAGCUGCAAAAGCCGAAACUGCGGCCCAUGGGCUCGCAAAAUAGGUAUGCUUAAACCCGGCCCAGUUUACAUGCCACCCAUUCUUACAAUACUCGUUUAACUCCACAAACAAGUCCUUUAGGUAAUUAUUCUUGAUAUCAAAAGCCACAUCUUUUCCAACCUCAUUGAAGAACUUUGCAACCUCCUUAUCCGUACCAAAAUAAUUCUCAAUAAUCUUAUUGUGCGAAAGCAAACUUACGUCCGCAGAGGUGUUCAUGAGACAACCCAUGAACACAACAUACGUUGUAAUGUCUUUCGUGCAAUGAAAAUAACAUUGCUCGAAAGCCAUACAGUUUAGAAAAAAAGCACUGUAAAAAUCAUCCAUGUUGAUUUGAGGAAUUAAAAGUAGCCCGUCUUGGAAUUUGAUAUCUAAGAAGCUAUCGGCUUGAUGAUUAGCCUUGAACUUGACCCCAGCGGUAACAAGUUUGGUUGCGGGUUUGAUGAGUUUAAGGGAAUGGUUGGGUUUAUCAAUCGCUUCAGGAACAACCAAGUUUCUACUAAUCGAGCUUCUAUUAACCGAGCUUCUAGUAACCGAGUCUCUAUUAUUGUUUAUGAAACUCUUUCUGAAAAAAUCGAGUAAAUGUUUUCCAUCAUGAUUCGCGUACUUCUUUAAAACUUCUUGUGGCCUAUCAACCAUGUAAUUGAAAAACUCUAGGAUUAAAGAUUGAAGUGUACAAUCAUGGUCCUCUUGUUUAGACACUUCAUACAACUUUUGUAGAACGAAAAACGGGAUUUGAUUCUCUAUCCUCAAAAGAUCCCUCAUCAAAAACGGCGAAAUCCAAGCCAUUUUAAAUAUGGGAUCAUCUUGAUGCGCCGGAACCAACUUCCCAACUUUUCGAAACAAUUCAAUCAAGAAAACUCCAUCUAGCACCAUCAUUUUAGCUAGAUCAUUAGAGCCAAGAUCAAUAGACUCCGAGUAGCUAUCUCGAAUUCUAUUCUCCAUUGACCCUAUGUUUUUCAUUAAAAAAUCUAGUUGCUUAUUGGUUCUUGUGAUCAUAUCAUCUAGGAACCUCCAUUUAUGCUCUUGAAUCAUCGCAAGAUCCUUGUUCCCAUAGUGGCAUGGGCCGAUUGAGACAAUUCGAGGUCGAUAUGCUUCUUUGUUGAUUUCAACUAGACUUUGUGGGACUCUAAAUAUGCUACAAGAAUUCUUACCAGCUGAUUUGAGAAGUAACUUUGGUGCUUCUUUCAUUUGCUUCUUCAUGGUUUCCACUUCUUGAUCAAUUGUGAUGACAUGGUUUUGAUUCAUGUUUUUUGGCAUUUUUUGUUUGGUUUCUUUAUUUGGUAUUUGUAAGUGAAUAAAUGUAGCAACUGAAUUGGGGAUAUGAA
This 1628-nucleotide long non-coding RNA is filed under the name Helianthus annuus (common sunflower). The record is from RNAcentral. Lineage: Eukaryota; Viridiplantae; Streptophyta; Magnoliopsida; Asterales; Asteraceae.